This 208-nucleotide ribosomal RNA is filed under the name uncultured bacterium. RNAcentral's name for it is "partial 16S ribosomal RNA". It matches the Rfam family "Bacterial small subunit ribosomal RNA", at positions 568 to 775 of the family's 1533-position model. The record is from RNAcentral.
AGCGUAGACGGCAUGGCAAGUCUGAUGUGAAAGGCCGGGGCUCAACCCCGGGACUGCAUUGGAAACUGUCAACCUAGAGUACCGGAGGGGUAAGUGGAAUUCCUAGUGUAGCGGUGAAAUGCGUAGAUAUUAGGAGGAACACCAGUGGCGAAGGCGGCCUGCUGGGCUUUAACUGACGCUGAGGCACGAAAGCGUGGGUAGCAAACGA